RNAcentral lists this ribosomal RNA (450 nucleotides) under uncultured bacterium. RNAcentral describes it as "partial 16S ribosomal RNA". It matches the Rfam family "Bacterial small subunit ribosomal RNA", at positions 354 to 796 of the family's 1533-position model. The record is from RNAcentral.
GUGGGGAAUAUUGGACAAUGGGCGAAAGCCUGAUCCAGUCAUGCCGCGUGUGUGAAGAAGGUCUUCGGAUUGUAAAGCACUUUAAGUUGGGAGGAAGGGCAGUAAGUUAAUACCUUGCUGUUUUGACGUUACCGACAGAAUAAGCACCGGCUAACUUCGUGCCAGCAGCCGCGGUAAUACGAAGGGUGCAAGCGUUAAUCGGAAUUACUGGGCGUAAAGCGCGCGUAGGUGGUUUUGUAAGUUGGAGGUGAAAUCCCCGGGCUCAACCUGGGAACUGCCUCCAAAACUGCAUGACUAGAGUACGGUAGAGGGUAGUGGAAUUUCCUGUGUAGCGGUGAAAUGCGUAGAUAUAGGAAGGAACACCAGUGGCGAAGGCGACUACCUGGACUGAUACUGACACUGAGGUGCGAAAGCGUGGGGAGCAAACAGGAUUAGAAACCCCGGUAGUCC